RNAcentral lists this ribosomal RNA (253 nucleotides) under uncultured bacterium. RNAcentral's name for it is "partial 16S ribosomal RNA". It matches the Rfam family "Bacterial small subunit ribosomal RNA", at positions 524 to 776 of the family's 1533-position model. The record is from RNAcentral.
UACGUAGGGUGCAAGCGUUGUCCGGAAUUAUUGGGCGUAAAGAGCUCGUAGGCGGUUUGUCGCGUCUGCUGUGAAAACCGGAGGCUCAACCUCCGGCCUGCAGUGGGUACGGGCAGACUAGAGUGCGGUAGGGGAGAUUGGAAUUCCUGGUGUAGCGGUGGAAUGCGCAGAUAUCAGGAGGAACACCGAUGGCGAAGGCAGCUCGCUGGGACGGUACUGACGCUGAGGCGCGAAAGCGUGGGGAGCAAACAGG